Molecule: long non-coding RNA, 994 nt
Filed under: Homo sapiens (human)
Lineage: Eukaryota; Metazoa; Chordata; Mammalia; Primates; Hominidae
Description: HSALNT0101919
Source: RNAcentral
CAGACUUCAGGAUGUACAUAACAUCUACAGAGAUUUAUUUAGCUGUGUUUUACUCAGAAGAUCCUGUUGACAGCUGGGGAUGGAUGCACACGACUGUGUGAUUACAGAGCUCUAAGAAAUGACAUGAUGGGAAGAGAGGAGUGUAAACCAUAAGGAAGUGAUGCCUGGUGACAGCGUUGACAGUACAGAGCUGUAGCAUCAUGCCUGUGCGCGCCAAGGGAAGAAACCAGAAGGAAGGUUACCUCGUUUCUUCUAGCUGUUUCCUUUCAAGCCCUUAUUCAGGAUUUUAUCUGUUUUGGAGGGAAACUCAGGUGCUGUCUUUAGUGUUUAGCUGGAAAGAAGCCUUAGAGGUCUGGGGUUUCGUGAAAACCAGGAGUUGAUUUAAGAAGCAGAAAUGCUUUUAAAAAAUCCUUUGUUGGAUCAGUUUUUUAAAAAAACUACAUAGAUCCUGUUACAGACUAAAUGUCUGUGUGCUCUCAAAAUUCAUAUAUUGAAACCAUACCCCACAAUGGGAUGGUAUAAGGAGGUGGGUCUUUGGGAGGUAAUUAGGAUGAGAUGAGGCCAUAAGGGUAGAGCCCUCAUGAAUGGGAUUAGUGUUCUUAUAUGAGUCAAGUGAGAGCUUUCUUCCCGUCUCUGAUCUCUGCCACACGAGGAUAUGAGAAGGCAGCAGAUGGCAACACAGAAGAGAGUUCUCACCAGAACUUGAGCAUGUUGGUACCCCGAUCUCAGACUUUCAGCCUCCAGAAGUGUGAGAAAUAAGUUUCUGUCAUUUAUAAUCCACCCAGUAUAUAGCACUUUGUUAUCGCAGCCCAAACUAAGAAAUUUGUUUAGCUGUGUUUCACCAAACACAUCGCAUAGCAUCCAUGCAGAGCAUCUUCAGAAGUCAGGAAUUUGUUAUUCAAUGGCAUCCCUGGGUUCUAGAUACCCCAAACAGAUUAUGCUGCAAGGAUUCCAGACAGCUUUGUAAAGAAAAUUAAAUCAGCGUGAUUCAAAC